Molecule: ribosomal RNA, 402 nt
Filed under: Phaeophyceae sp.
Lineage: Eukaryota; Phaeophyceae
Description: partial small subunit ribosomal RNA
Rfam family: Eukaryotic small subunit ribosomal RNA
Source: RNAcentral
AUUCCAGCUCCAAUAGCGUAUAUUAAAGUUGCUGCAGUUAAAAAGCUCGUAGUUGGAUUUGUGGCGCGGCCGUCCGGCGGGGCUCCUUCAUUGGGGCCGUUUGUCUGGUUUUUCGGCCGCUCCAUUCUCGGGUAGUGUGUCGCUGGCAUUAGGUUGUCGGCUUCUUCACGCCCGUCGUUUACUGUGAAAAAAUUAGAGUGUUCAAAGCAGGCUUAGGCCAUUGGAUACAUUAGCAUGGAAUAAUGAGAUAGGACCACGACGGUCUAUUUUGUUGGUUUGCACGUUGUGGUAAUGAUUAACAGGAACGGUUGGGGGUAUUCGUAUUCAAUUGUCAGAGGUGAAAUUCUUGAAUUUAUGGAAGACGAACUACUGCGAAAGCAUUUACCAAGGAUGUUUUCAUCA